UAGAUGUCUCAUUUAGGAUUUCUAUGGCUG
This 30-nucleotide non-coding RNA is filed under the name Rattus norvegicus (Norway rat). Lineage: Eukaryota; Metazoa; Chordata; Mammalia; Rodentia; Muridae. The record is from RNAcentral.